Molecule: long non-coding RNA, 245 nt
Filed under: Carica papaya (papaya)
Lineage: Eukaryota; Viridiplantae; Streptophyta; Magnoliopsida; Brassicales; Caricaceae
Description: long non-coding RNA (CPAP_LNC006832)
Source: RNAcentral
AAUGUAGUUUAAAUACUAUUUUUCUUACUGAGUUUAUGACGAAUAAACUCCCAAUCCGUGCCCCUCUCUAAAUGAUGAAAAUGAUGAUGCACUUCAUGUAUUGCCCCUGAAGCUUGUUUGGAUUCCUUUUCGGAUCCUUAAAAUAGUUAUGAGUACUUUGUAAUGCUUGCGCUCUAGUAAACAUUUAGAUGACUCUAUUUUGUAUAUUUACUUCUUGAUAGCCAAUCAUUGGCCUCAAGUGCAAU